This 168-nucleotide unclassified non-coding RNA is filed under the name soil metagenome. Its description in RNAcentral is "partial contains 5.8S ribosomal RNA, internal transcribed spacer 2, and large subunit ribosomal RNA". The record is from RNAcentral.
AACUGAUACUACCUGCGGGAACCUGCGGAAGGAUCAUUAGUGAACGCCCUCACGGGCUUAUAACUAUUCCAAACCUCUGUGAACCGUGCCCUUCGGGGCUAUUUUACAAACGUGGUGUAAUGAACGUCAUAUAUCAUAACAAAACAAAACUUUCAACAACGGAUCUCU